GAUGAAGAACGUAGCGAAAUGCGAUAAGUAAUGUGAAUUGCAGAAUUCAGAGAAUCAUCGAAUCUUUGAACGCACAUUGCGCCCCCUGGUAUUCCGGGGGGCAUGCCUGUCCGAGCGUCAUUACAACCCUCAAGCUCAGCUUGGUGUUGGGCCCCGCCGCCCCGGCGGGCCCUAAAGUCAGUGGCGGUGCCGUCCGGCUCCGAGCGUAGUAAUUCUUCUCGCUCUGGAGGUCCGGUCGUGUGCUCGCCAGCAACCCCCAAUUUUUUUCAGGUUGACCUCGGAUCAGGUAGGGAAACCCGCUGAACUUAAGCAUAUCAAUAAGCGGAGGA
This 329-nucleotide unclassified non-coding RNA is filed under the name soil metagenome. Its description in RNAcentral is "partial contains 5.8S ribosomal RNA, internal transcribed spacer 2, and large subunit ribosomal RNA". The stretch from base 1 to 120 matches the Rfam family "5.8S ribosomal RNA", at positions 35 to 154 of the family's 154-position model. The record is from RNAcentral.